RNAcentral lists this ribosomal RNA (1244 nucleotides) under metagenome. RNAcentral describes it as "bacterial LSU rRNA". It matches the Rfam family "Bacterial large subunit ribosomal RNA", at positions 1564 to 2816 of the family's 2925-position model. The record is from RNAcentral.
UGAGUACGAGACGCUAAGGCGUUGAAGCAGUCUAUGUCAGACUUCCAAGAAAAGCUCGCAAUGUCAUAAACAAAGAAUGCCUGUACCAUAACCGACACAGGUGGGUAGGUAGAGUAUACUAAGGGGCGCGAGAUAACUCUCUCUAAGGAACUCGGCAAAAUGACUCCGUAACUUCGGGAGAAGGAGUGCCUUAUUUUUAUAAGGUUGCAAUAACAAGAUCCAAGCAACUGUUUACCAAAAACACAGGUCUCCGCUAAGUCGUAAGACGAUGUAUGGGGGCUGACGCCUGCCCAGUGCCAGAAGGUUAAAGAAGUUGGUUAGUUUCGGCGAAGCUGAUGACUGAAGCCCUGGUGAACGGCGGCCGUAACAAUAACGGUCCUAAGGUAGCGAAAUUCCUUGUCGGGUAAGUUCCGACCCGCACGAAAGGCGUAAUGAUUUGGAUACUGUCUCGGAGAGGGGCUCGGUGAAAUAGACUUGUCUGUGAAGAUGCGGACUACCUGCACCUGGACAGAAAGACCCUAUGAAGCUAUACUGUAACUUGAGAUUGAAAUUGGACUUUAUUUGCGCAGUAUAGGUGGGAGACGUUGAGAAUAUUCUUGCGGGAAUAUUGGAGUCAUCAGUGAGAUACCACUCUUGUAAUGUUAGAUUUCUAACUUUGUAUCAUGAUCUGGUCAAAGGACAGUUUCAGGCGGGCAGUUUGACUGGGGCGGUCGCCUCCCAAACGGUAACGGAGGCGCACAAAGGUUUCCUCUGAACGUGUAGAAAUCGCAUCUAGAGUGUAAAGGCAUAAGGAAGCUUGACUGUGAGACCUACAAGUCGAGCAGGGACGAAAGUCGGUCUUAGUGAUCUGACGGUGCUGAGUGGAAAGGCCGUCACUCAACGGAUAAAAGUUACUCUAGGAUAACAGGCUGAUCUCCCCCAAGAGUUCACAUCGACGGGGAGGUUUGGCACCUCGAUGUCGGCUCAUCGCAUCCUGGGGCGGUAGUACGUCCCAAGGGUUGGGCUGUUCGCCCAUGAAAGCGGUACGCGAGCUGGGUUCAGAACGUCGUGAGACAGUUCGGUCCAUAUCCGGUGUAGGCGUUAGAAUAUUGAGAGGAGCCUUCUUUAGUACGAGAGGACCGAGAAGGACAUACCUCUGGUGUACCAGUUAUCGUGCCAACGGUAAACGCUGGGUAGCUAUGUAUGGAGUGGAUAACCGCUGAAAGCAUCUAAGUGGGAAGCCCACCUCAAGAUAAGUAUUCUCA